This 450-nucleotide ribosomal RNA is filed under the name uncultured bacterium. RNAcentral's name for it is "bacterial SSU rRNA". It matches the Rfam family "Bacterial small subunit ribosomal RNA", at positions 354 to 796 of the family's 1533-position model. The record is from RNAcentral.
GUGGGGAAUUUUGGACAAUGGGCGCAAGCCUGAUCCAGCAAUGCCGCGUGCAGGAUGAAGGCCUUCGGGUUGUAAACUGCUUUUGUACGGAACGAAAAGCCCUGGGUUAAUACCCUGGGGUCAUGACGGUACCGUAAGAAUAAGCACCGGCUAACUACGUGCCAGCAGCCGCGGUAAUACGUAGGGUGCGAGCGUUAAUCGGAAUUACUGGGCGGAAAGCGUGCGCAGGCGGUUUUGUAAGACAGAGGUGAAAUCCCCGGGCUCAACCUGGGAACUGCCUUUGUGACUGGAAGGCUAGAGUACGGCAGAGGUGGAUGGAAUUCCGCGUGUAGCAGUGAAAUGCGUAGAUAUGCGGAGGAACACCGAUGGCGAAGGCAAUCCCCUGGGCCUGUACUGACGCUCAUGCACGAAAGCGUGGGGAGCAAACAGGAUUAGAAACCCGAGUAGUCC